This 406-nucleotide ribosomal RNA is filed under the name uncultured bacterium. RNAcentral's name for it is "partial 16S ribosomal RNA". It matches the Rfam family "Bacterial small subunit ribosomal RNA", at positions 30 to 526 of the family's 1533-position model. The record is from RNAcentral.
AUUGAACGCUGGCGGCAGGCCUAACACAUGCAAGUCGAACGAGUGGCGGACGGGUGAGUAAUGUCUGGGAAACUGCCUGCUGGCUGGGGAUAAAUACUGGAAACGGUAGCUAAUACCUCAUACCAUCGGAUGUGCACAGAUGGGUUUAGCUAGUAGGUGGGGUAAAGGCUCACCUAGGAGACGAACCCUAGCUGGUCUGAGAGGCUGACCAGCAACACUGGAACUGAGAAACGGUCCAGACUCCAACGGGAGGAAGAAUUGGGAAAUAUGGGACAAUGGGCGAAAGCCUGAGGCAGCCAUGCCGCGUGUAGGAAGAAGGCCUUCGGGUUGUAAAGUACUUUCAGCAGGGAGGCGUUACCCGCAGAAAAAGCAACGGCUAACUCCGUGCCAGCAGCCGCGGUAAUAC